RNAcentral lists this small nucleolar RNA (132 nucleotides) under Myotis davidii. Its description in RNAcentral is "Small nucleolar RNA SNORA29". It matches the Rfam family "Small nucleolar RNA SNORA29". Rfam says of the family: ACA29 is a member of the H/ACA class of snoRNA that guide the sites of modification of uridines to pseudouridines. The record is from Rfam by way of RNAcentral. Lineage: Eukaryota; Metazoa; Chordata; Mammalia; Chiroptera; Vespertilionidae.
UUCCCCGUUUGCCUGCCACCUUUCUCCCAGUAGAUUUUCGUGGCUGUGCUGAGGGGAUAGAGUAACAUCGCCGUGAUCUGCAGGGGGGGAUUUGUCUGUGUCCUCCUAUAUGAAAUGGCUAAACAGAAAAAG